Molecule: ribosomal RNA, 253 nt
Filed under: uncultured bacterium
Lineage: Bacteria
Description: partial 16S ribosomal RNA
Rfam family: Bacterial small subunit ribosomal RNA
Source: RNAcentral
UACGUAGGGUGCGAGCGUUGUCCGGAAUUAUUGGGCGUAAAGAGCUCGUAGGCGGUCUGUCGCGUCGAUCGUGAAAACUUGGGGCUUAACCCUGAGCUUGCGGUCGAUACGGGCAGACUAGAGUUCGGCAGGGGAGACUGGAAUUCCUGGUGUAGCGGUGAAAUGCGCAGAUAUCAGGAGGAACACCGGUGGCGAAGGCGGGUCUCUGGGCCGAUACUGACGCUGAGGAGCGAAAGCGUGGGGAGCGAACAGG